GUAGGUGGCAAGCGUUGUCCGGAAUUAUUGGGCGUAAAGCGCGCGCAGGCGGUUCUUUAAGUCUGAUGUGAAAGCCCACGGCUCAACCGUGGAGGGUCAUUGGAAACUGGAGAACUUGAGUACAGAAGAGGAAAGCGGAAUUCCACGUGUAGCGGUGAAAUGCGUAGAGAUGUGGAGGAACACCAGUGGCGAAGGCGGCUUUCUGGUCUGUGACUGACGCUGAGGCGCGAAAGCGUGGGGGAGCAAACAGGAUUAGAUACCCUGGUAGUCCACGCCGUAAACGAUGAGUGCUAAGUGUUAGGGGGUUUCCGCCCCUUAGUGCUGCAGCUAACGCAUUAAGCACUCCGCCCUGGGAGUACGGCCGCAAGGCUG
This 372-nucleotide ribosomal RNA is filed under the name uncultured organism. RNAcentral's name for it is "partial 16S ribosomal RNA". It matches the Rfam family "Bacterial small subunit ribosomal RNA", at positions 527 to 896 of the family's 1533-position model. The record is from RNAcentral.